Molecule: long non-coding RNA, 1609 nt
Filed under: Camarhynchus parvulus
Lineage: Eukaryota; Metazoa; Chordata; Aves; Passeriformes; Thraupidae
Description: lncRNA (ENSCPVG00000013129.2)
Source: RNAcentral
GGGCGCCUCAGGUUCUCACUCCCCAGAGCCCCUGAUCCCACAGGGCUCGCAGGGCAGGUGGGAGGCAGCACAGGGCUGUCAGUACCAGUUAUCCCUCUUGUCCUCGAGCCGUGUGUGCAGGUCCUGUCCCCUCCCCUUGCCCCAAAGCCCUGCUGGGGCUUGGCUGUGCUCUGGGCAGCGCUGCCAGGUGCCUGCGAGGUCUCUCGGGUUACCAGCAGCUUCCCCUGGUAGGUGGCUGGAAAGGCAGCGAUGCCUCCCUGGCCUGGUUUCCUUUGUGAAAGCACCAGCAGCAGCGGGAAUGUCACAGGAUCUGCUCUCCCCGAGCGACAGGAGGAGAAAAGGGCUCUGUGUCCAGCUCCCCAGGCCGGGCUGUGUGGGCAGCACUGUCCAUCUGUGCUGCCAUCGCCUCUCGGGGCGAGCUGGGAGCAAAACAUCGAGGGAUGGGGGGAGAUUUUGGCUGCUGUGAAGGCUGGAGCGUUUAGGGGAGGGGGCCAUGCUGCUGCUGGGGAGGCUGUGAGGGUGAUGGAGCGCUGCUGGCCCGGCUGGGACCGCUCCAACCUCCCGGUGGCCCCUUCGCAAAGUAUCUCACAAAUGCUGAACUUGGCCCCGAAAUCUAAAUACAAGGCAGGGACAGUCCCCAGAUGGCCUAAAUCAGCAGCACGGUUGCCUGGCCCAGCUGGGGAGCUCGCCGGGAGUGUUUGUUUAAUGGGAAAGCAGAGGCUGCAGGAAUGCUGGCCUGGAAGGAGACCUUGGAAGGGGAAAGCGUUCGUGCCAUGCACACGUGUGAGGGAGAUCCCAGAGAGGCAGCGGGGCCCAGAGAGCUGCUCCUCUCUGCUGGGAUGGGCUGAGGGGGAAGGAAUUCCCCUGGCUCCUGGUUUGAGGUGCAGGGAAGGCGGUGUGGCUGCUGGGUGGCUUCUCCUGCUGCUGGGGGUGAACUGGGGGCUCCCCAUGUGCCAUCAUCCCCCUGGGGGCUCAGGCUGUGCCUCCCUGGGCUGCUCAGGGAAUGAGACCAUGUGCCACCAGUGCCAUGCCACGGGGCACUCCUGCCCUGGCCAGGCCCAUCCCGGAGCCAGGCGCGGGAGGGUUGGGCAGGGGACUUUGCCCCAGCGUGGGGCCAGAGUCCGUCCUGCCCUGCCCGUGCUGUGGCCGCUCCUCUGGGGGACAGCGGGGUGUCACAGCCUGGCUCUGGGUACAGGAGGGGGUGGAGGUGUCCCCAUGUCCUGCUGGCACCCCUGGGUGGGUGCUGUGGCUCCCGGUGGCGGUGUCCGGCCGGGCAGGACCGGGCUGUGCUGGGGCCAUCGCUGCCCGCUGUGCCCCGGGGCCGGGCGGGCCCCGGCGGGGACGUGGCCCCGUCCCACGGCUCCUUGCGAAGCCACACGUCCGUGUCCCUUCCCCGGGCGUGUCACGGGGCGCGGUGUCGCCGGCGGUGCCCGGAGGGAGGAAGAGGGCGGCCACGGGCCCUUCCUCCCCGGCUGCCUCUGCCGGGACCACCUGGGGCUGCCUGGCGCCACGGGGUGCGGCCGCACGCUCGCUGGCCUUGUCCCCUCCUUGGGCUGGACGGCUGGGCUGGUGGCCCCGGGGCGGCCGAGGGAAGGAGGAACGUGCCCGG